Molecule: ribosomal RNA, 460 nt
Filed under: uncultured bacterium
Lineage: Bacteria
Description: partial 16S ribosomal RNA
Rfam family: Bacterial small subunit ribosomal RNA
Source: RNAcentral
CCUACGGGAGGCAGCAGUGAGGAAUAUUGGUCAAUGGGCGUAAGCCUGAACCAGCCAAGUCGCGUGAGGGAUGAAGGUUCUAUGGAUCGUAAACCUCUUUUAUAAGGGAAUAAAGUGUGGGACGUGUCCUGUUUUGUAUGUACCUUAUGAAUAAGGAUCGGCUAACUCCGUGCCAGCAGCCGCGGUAAUACGGAGGAUCCGAGCGUUAUCCGGAUUUAUUGGGUUUAAAGGGUGCGUAGGCGGCGUUUUAAGUUAGCGGUGAAAGGUGGUGGCUCAACCAUGGAAUUGCCGUUGAAACUGGGGGGCUUGAGUAUGGUUGAGGCAGGCGGAAUGCGUGGUGUAGCGGUGAAAUGCUUAGAUAUCACGCAGAACCCCGAGUGCGAAGGCAGCCUGCCAAGCCAUAACUGACGCUGAUGCACGAAAGCGUGGGGAUCAAACAGGAUUAGAUACCCCUGUAGUC